GGGAGCGGCCGGUUCUGGGGACGCAGUCGCCCCUCUUGCCUCAUCGCUCGGCCCUCACUCUGCCCACCCGCGAGCCCGCGACCGCUGCUUCUGCCCGGUGGCCCGUGAGGAGAAGACCGGAAACUUCUGGGGUCGAGGCAGCUGGAGGAAACGAAGGGAAGAGGGAAGGACGAUGGAUGUGCACGCGUUCCCGGGUGCGCGGCCUCGCUUCCGAAGUGGCUCAAGGAGGGGCCAACUCCUGGCAUCCCCUGCAGAGGGGCACGUCCCCUUUACUGUUAGCCUCAACCACAGACUUGCCUGUCCUGCACACAGGGGCAGAAAUGAUACUUUGGUUCCUGGGCGUUAGAACUAUUUUGAGGGUUCUGUUUAAAAAUUUUAGAAAAGCUUUAGAAUCACUAGGCAUAUUUUGGUGGGAAGGUAGAAAAAAAAAAAGAAACCUUUUUCCUUCUGUGUGGAAACCUAGCUGUAUAGAUAGGGCUUGUACUAGGUGGAAGUGCCCACCUACAAGGGCCAAAUUAAAUUAAGAAUAAAAUUCUUUGACAAA
Molecule: non-coding RNA, 544 nt
Organism: Leptonychotes weddellii (Weddell seal)
Lineage: Eukaryota; Metazoa; Chordata; Mammalia; Carnivora; Phocidae
Source: RefSeq, a predicted model, not a curated record